Molecule: ribosomal RNA, 465 nt
Filed under: uncultured bacterium
Lineage: Bacteria
Description: partial 16S ribosomal RNA
Rfam family: Bacterial small subunit ribosomal RNA
Source: RNAcentral
CUACGGGAGGCUGCAGUGAGGAAUUUUGCGCAAUGGGGGGAACCCUGACGCAGCAACGCCGCGUGAGUGAUGAAGGCUUUCGGGUCGUAAAGCUCUGUCAAGUGGGAAGAACCUAUGCAGUGUUAAUAUCACUGUAUACUGACGGUACCACUGAAGGAAGCACCGGCUAACUCCGUGCCAGCAGCCGCGGUAAUACGGGGGGUGCAAGCGUUAUUCGGAAUCAUUGGGCGUAAAGGGCACGUAGGCGGCUUGGUAAGUCAGAUGUGAAAGCCCGGGGCUUAACCCCGGAAGUGCAUUUGAUACUGUCAGGCUUGAGUAUGGGAGAGGGAAGUGGAAUUCCUGGUGUAGAGGUGAAAUUCGUAGAUAUCAGGAGGAACACCGGUGGCGAAGGCGACUUCCUGGACCAAUACUGACGCUGAGGUGCGAAGGCGUGGGUAGCAAACAGGAUUAGAUACCCCAGUAGUC